UUCAGUGUGGCGAAGUGGUUUGAGUGCUGGACUACAACUCUGGAGACCAGGGUUCGAUUCCCAUCUGGUGCAA
Molecule: transfer RNA, 73 nt
Filed under: Phrynosoma platyrhinos (Desert horned lizard)
Lineage: Eukaryota; Metazoa; Chordata; Lepidosauria; Squamata; Phrynosomatidae
Description: tRNA-OTHER
Source: RNAcentral